Molecule: long non-coding RNA, 2162 nt
Organism: Centropristis striata (black sea bass)
Lineage: Eukaryota; Metazoa; Chordata; Actinopteri; Perciformes; Serranidae
Exons: 4
Source: RefSeq, a predicted model, not a curated record
CUGUUUAUGAAAUUACCAGAAAUAUUGGGACAUAUCGCCCGGCCCUACUGGGACUACGAACAGGAAGGAAGUCACCUGGAGGAGAAUAUUUGACAUUUUCAGAGGGAAGCUGGAGGAAACUCCAACUUUUCCUGCAGCCAUCACCUGCUUUCCAGAACAAGCCAGGACAAUAAUCAUGCGCCAUCUUUGACAGGAGUUUGCAGCUGUCACGUUAUCGAGUUUAACUGACUUCACCUGCAGCCCACCUGUUCACAGCGGGAAAGGUUUUAGCCACUGUUACUUCAGGCUGUAAUGGACGUGAAGCGAACUAUAAAACCUCCGGUGGGACAGAUAAGUGAGCAGCACCACUGUCACCUGAAGCAGAGACGGGCAGAUUCAUGUCUGAAGAGGCGUAAUGAUGCAGUUUUGAUUUCCUGAUGAGAUGGAGUUGGCUGAGGUGAUGCAUUUGCUGGAAGAGCCUUUUCCUGCAGGAGUCUUGAAAAGCCACGGUUGCUACGGGAACGGGCGUUGUGUCACUGGUCAGCCGUGAGUGACAGGUGCGUCUCAUCCGUGACAUAAUGACACAACGAUGAGCGCUGAAGGACGAAAACGCUCUCCUAUGAGCUUUCCAAAGAGGGCGUUAGCACAAACAUUUCCCCAAUAAUCCGUAACCGAGACUCGCAAGCACGGGACUGGAACUAAUGAAGACAACUAUUCAAUUACGAGCUCAAUUAAUGCAAGUGCCUGGAAGCGCAGAUCACAGAUGAGCCAAGCAGCUAGCCUUAGAUGUUGUGGACCACAACUGGAGGCGAACAACACACUGAGACAUUGAAUUCCUGCCUCAAUCCCUUGGCUUAGCACUCAUGGCCGUCUCCACUUUAAAGUGGCUUUAUGGGCUCAUAAGAGGGACCUGAGAGUGGGCCUCAAAUCUAUGCCUUUCGUCCACUGUGUAGGGUCAUAAGGACCUGAAUUGACUUUGUCUAGAUAUGGACCCACAAUCUCUUCUUAAGUAUUACUCUGUUAUUGCCAUUUUCUCCCGAGGUUCAUCUCUUGCUGCACCAUAUUCGACCAAGCACAACAAAAAAGUCCAAUUUAGCCUGAUUUCCCUUAUUCCAGCUUUGAUUCUUGCUUUGGCUCAUAUUGAUUUCAUACAACUUGUUAUGUUCUGUUUCUUCUCUGUCUUGUUUUUGGAUAAAUCCAUGUUGUUUACAGUGUGCGAUGACCCGCGGGGCGUCAAGAUUAUUCUUAACCCUCUUUCUCGCUGUGGUUUUGUGGUGUAUCGAUAUGUAGCCAUGUUUGCUUAUAAUUAAGUCCCUUCCACACCACAGAUGGGACUCAGUUCAGACCUCUUGGCCCAAUUAAAACAAGCUUUCCUACUUCAGUACUACCUGCUUUGUUACAUAUAUAUAAGUGCAUUAGUUUGAUAAAAAGCUUUAGAGCGGUAAUUUACACUGGUUGAUACACGACGCUCGCAUCCUCAUGAUGCAACACGACUCUAAAUUACCACAGAAUAUUACAUCUUAUCAUAAAGCUGUUCCACACUGAUUAAAGACUAAAGAUAAAAAAACUGAGGCUUUGCUAAAGGAAAAAAAAAUCUCUAAUUAUUUCCCUAGAAAUAAAAUAAAAUGGUAUAGGCCACUAGGGAGUUGGGUCUAAGUAUUUCAUUUAUCUAUAAAAGGCCUCUUGAGGAUGUUUCCUUUCUUUAUUUUAAUCUCUUUUCUGUUUUCACACCUUUAGCAUUCUUCUCUUUACUGCGUUAUAGUACGUCUCUCCCCCUAGUUCAUCCUUGCAGUACAUACUGACGACAAUAAUUGAAGUGAGUGCAUACACGGGAUUAGGAGACAUUGAUGGUAAUUACUAAAGGUGACUGUGAGUAAUUCAAACUAGUCCACAGUCCUCUGUGACUCAUUAGCUGGAGCUGAGCUCUAUAGACCUCUGGUAAAACCACUGGCAGGAGAAGGGCCCGCCCCUCUGCUCCACCACACAUUAAACACAUAUUAUAUAUAUCAUAUUUUACACUGCAGUGAUUGUGAUACAUCAACUAAGAGCUUAUUUAUUUUUCUGACUAAUGCAUAACUGAUCUGUAGUAUGUACUGAUAAAAAUACCAAUUCAAUACAUUUAAAAAAAAAAUCUUUAUCAUAUAUUAUUUGAUUGUGAACACACGGUUUGCUUAACAUCUACA